UACGGGGGGGAGCAAGCGUUGUUCGGAUUUACUGGGCGUAAAGGGCGCGUAGGCGGUCGUGACAAGUCACUUGUGAAAUCUCCGGGCUUAACUCGGAACGGUCAAGUGAUACUGUCGGACUAGAGUACAGAAGGGGCAACUGGAAUUCUCGGUGUAGCGGUGAAAUGCGUAGAUAUCGAGAGGAACACCUGCGGCGAAGGCGGGUCUCUGGGCCGUAACUGACGCUGAGGAGCGAAAGCGUGGGGAGCGAACAGG
RNAcentral lists this ribosomal RNA (255 nucleotides) under uncultured bacterium. Its description in RNAcentral is "partial 16S ribosomal RNA". It matches the Rfam family "Bacterial small subunit ribosomal RNA", at positions 524 to 776 of the family's 1533-position model. The record is from RNAcentral.